GAGGUUGGUUAUGCAGUAUUUUUGUGACAUUAGCUAACUGAUAGACCAUGCCAUAGAAACGCCUGCUAUCAAGAUAAAUAGAUGACUGACGACUGGGAGUCAUGAAAAGGCUCAGGCUCCACCUGCCAAGGGUUGCUCGACUUAGCAAAUAAAAAUACAGGACCCAGAUAAAUGUAAAUUUCAGAAAAUCAUCAAAUAAUUUUUUAGUAUAGGUAUGUCCCACGCAACAUUUCGGAAAUACUUACACUAAACAAUUAAUGCUUAUUUGAAUUACACACUUAACUGGCAUCCUCUAUUUUAUCUGGCAAUUCUAUUCUGGUAGAUUUCCAAGAGUCGCACUCUGCAGAAAGCACCUAUGCGUAAAAAUGGGCCUGAGCUAGAGAAUCAGAGAUGAAAACAGGAAGUCAUCUCCUCUACCCUCCAUCAGGCUUUAAGUCUCUGAGGCAGACUUUCCUAGAGGGACUGAGUCAGAGAAAAAGCUGCCUAAAAUGUUAAGAAAGUGCAGGCUUGCCAGUGGUUGGGAGAAGUCUCUUUCAGCUUUAUUAUUUAACCACCUUAAAAUCGGCGGUGCAUCAGGGAGCCCUGUCUUCCCUGGUUUCGGCAGCCUGUGGUUCCACAGAGAGCAUCCCUCCAAACCAUCUGAAUCCUGCAUCCCUUUCACUGGAUCCAAGAAGCGUUUCCUGGGUUACUGCACCAUCUGUCUCUGAGGUACCUGCAAGGGAAAGACACUGUGGGGGUGGCGAGAAAGGGACUGCAGACGGCCCAGGAGGGGACUGUGCAGGGACUGUUUGUCAAGGAGUCGGGCCAGCUAAUGAGUGACCAGUGAAGCCAGGGGGCUGGAUGAAAUCGGAGAGAAGAAAUCGAACACCACGGAGGUGAGAGUGCAGAAGAGCUACCACGUGGGAACUCAGUCCGCCCUCCACCUUCAUCUGUCUCUUUAGCAGAUUCGGACAAGCCACUGUUUUUGGCUUUGCACAGACUAGUUGGCUGUUUUCAUGAAUAAUCUCCAACUCAAUCCGGGAAGAAAUUCCACGCUGUCCGCCAGCAGCACAGAUUGUUGCAGGAAAAAUGACACAACUUCAUCCUCUGGGCAAACUUGAAAAUUAUUACAAAUUUCCCCAUCUCUCCUCCACUUGCACAGCUGGCUGUAGAAGCUGUGCAGGCUCUGCUCCUGAGCACUUCUCAGGACUCAGGUAGCAAGCUCGCCUACGCAUGGCCUUGGUGCAAAGAUGGAUUCCAGAAAGGGACACCGACCAGCUAAAAUUCUGCACCUCCAGAUAAAUGACACCAUGAAAACCAAAUGUGCAUAAUGUGGUCAUCAGGGCAGCACAGUUUUGACAUAAACCACAUCCAGCUUGUCUGAGGACCAGGGUUGACCUAACCACCGAUAACUCUGUCUGUGACCGCUGACAGUACUAGAACUCAGCUUUUUCCAGGUAUGCAGGCUCCCACUCACAUGUUGCUUGUAGAUUUCAUAGACUCUCUCCCACUUGGAUCCAAUUCAGUGAAUAAUUCUUGAAUCCCUAUGGCGCUCAUCACACCGUGCUAGGCUCCAGGGGAAUACAAUAAUUAAUAAGGGUCUAGCUUCAGGCAUUUUGCUGUUUGGAAGGAAAAGAGAUCUACAAAUCGCUAUAAAUGUGAGAAGAGACUAAAAAGGACCUGCACGGUUGUAGCGACCAUGGAAGGAGGGGAUAUGGAGAGAUGGUCCUUGGCAGGGAAGGCCUAGGUGUUCUCAUGGAGGAGGCAGCAUUUGAGCAGGGCCAUAAAGGGCUUUAGCGAUGGCCUCUGGGAGGUCAGGAAAGGCACCAGGAUGAGCAAAGGUGUGGAGGGAGGGUGACCGCUAAGCACAGGGUUUGUAGGGAGAAGAAAGAUAAGUCAGAUUUUAGUGUGAGAUGAGGGGUCAGAGCCUCAGAAGCACUUCCUCGGAGGAGCACCCAGAGUUUGAUUUGUGUCCCCAACUGGACUCCCGAUGCUGGUGGGGCCUCCAUCCGACAGUGCACAGUCCAUUGCCCAACUUUUCCCCUCUUAUUCAGAACGCUGGAUUCAAAAAUAGUUUCCCCUGAUAGCUUAAAGGAUGGACCUGACGUGUACCAAUGUUAAGUUAUAAUCACGAUUCUUCAGGCUGUUUCUUUAGAAGACCUCAAGUAGUUGCAAGCUCCAGCUGUCUCUGCUGAAAAAGAGAAAGUCAAUUCUCCCUGUUGCAAAAACUUUUGGAGCAGCAGGAAACCAACCUGUCAACUGAAAUUGAUUUAUUCACUCGACUGGAAUGACCCGACCCACUUGACACAUCUGAGAGGGGGCAGUUUACUUUCAUUCAACCCACAGAUUCGGGCUGAUCAUCAUGCAAUAACGAAACAUUUGCCUGAGCAAGUCAGGGUAGAAAUGACCAUGCCCACUUAAUGGAGAAAAUGAAGCACAAAUUUCACAGUCACCCAAGAGAGAUACUCACUUCUAGCCUAGUAAUAUGCUCACCAGAUCAUCCCGAUGGUUUCCUUAGGUGUAGGAUGAAUUCCAGGCUUCCUUUGCAUCUCUAUGUGUCUUUUUCCCUUAAUCAGAAAGCCAAAUGCUAGAGCUUCUUUACCACCACAGGAAAG
RNAcentral lists this long non-coding RNA (2594 nucleotides) under Equus caballus (horse). RNAcentral's name for it is "lncRNA (ENSECAG00000055281.1)". The record is from RNAcentral. Lineage: Eukaryota; Metazoa; Chordata; Mammalia; Perissodactyla; Equidae.